AUUGAACGCUGGCGGCAUGCUUUACACAUGCAAGUCGAACGGCAGCACGGGCUUCGGCCUGGUGGCGAGUGGCGAACGGGUGAGUAAUGCAUCGGAACGUACCGUGUAAUGGGGGGAUAACGUAGCGAAAGUUACGCUAAUACCGCAUACGCCCUGAGGGGGAAAGUGGGGGACCGCAAGGCCUCACGUUAUAUGAGCGGCCGAUGUCGGAUUAGCUAGUUGGUGGGGUAAAGGCCUACCAAGGCGACGAUCCGUAGCGGGUCUGAGAGGAUGAUCCGCCACACUGGGACUGAGACACGGCCCAGACUCCUACGGGAGGCAGCAGUGGGGAAUUUUGGACAAUGGGCGCAAGCCUGAUCCAGCCAUGCCGCGUGAGUGAAGAAGGCC
RNAcentral lists this ribosomal RNA (387 nucleotides) under uncultured bacterium. RNAcentral describes it as "bacterial SSU rRNA". It matches the Rfam family "Bacterial small subunit ribosomal RNA", at positions 29 to 416 of the family's 1533-position model. The record is from RNAcentral.